RNAcentral lists this long non-coding RNA (526 nucleotides) under Chrysolophus pictus (golden pheasant). RNAcentral's name for it is "lncRNA (ENSCPIG00010011849.1)". Lineage: Eukaryota; Metazoa; Chordata; Aves; Galliformes; Phasianidae. The record is from RNAcentral.
CAGUAUUGAGUGCCGAUGUGAAGAUCGACUUUUGAAGAAGCUGCUUCUAGCACAAAGCUUGCCUCACUCCUUCCUAAGGAAAAACUUGAGAUAUAAACCACAAAAGGGAAAAAAGAAGUGAAGCUAAUGGAAGAUGCUAUGUUUCAGGGAACUGCCUGUCUUUCUACCAAGACGAAUUGAUGAGAACACGAAUGUGAUUAGAAGUACAAUGCCCACAGAUUUCAUGUUCCUUCUCUCCCUCGAGGACCAGGGUCUUGCAUUCGAUGACAGGAUCCAGGGAAGUCAGAGCAAGAGCCAAAUCAACAGGAAAAGCAUCAGAGGAAUAAUGGAGAAAAAAAAAAAAUGCAGAGAAGAUCAGUAAUGAGAACCUCCUACCUAUUUUAUUCAAAGUGAUUAUGGAAUGAAUCUUUGCGACUUUUUAUGGAACACGUUAAAAAAACAAGAUCCCCCCCACACCCUCUUAAAGGUAGGUGGUGAUAGUUUCCCUGGUUCACUCUGUGUAAUCCAACUGCCAAUGAUCCCCCAG